Molecule: ribosomal RNA, 844 nt
Filed under: gut metagenome
Description: bacterial LSU rRNA
Rfam family: Bacterial large subunit ribosomal RNA
Source: RNAcentral
AUGGGCGAACCCGCCAGGAGAAGUCCUGGCACCCUCAGGGUGAACACAUAGCCCUGAGGGGGACAACCCGGGGAACUGAAACAUCUAAGUACCCGGAGGAGAAGAAAUCAACACAGAGAUUCCCCGAGUAGCGGCGAGCGAAAGGGGACCGAGGCCAAACCGGCGAGCGGGCGGGCGCCAGCCCUUACCGCCGCCGGGGUUGCAGGGCCCCCCGCCCGGGAGCUGGCGCUCCCGGCGGGCAUCCAUCCAGGGGAGCCGAACGGCAUGGGAAGGCCGGCGGCACAGGGUUAGGGCCCCGUAGGCGCACCCUGGGAUGGAGCCCGGUGGGGGUCCCUGAGUAGGGCCGGGCACGUGAAACCCGGUCCGAACCCGGGGGGACCACCCUCCAAGCCUGAAUACUCCCAUGUGACCGAUAGCGCACCAGUACCGUGAGGGAAAGGUGAAAAGCACCCCGGGAGGGGAGUGAAACAGUACCUGAAACCGUGCGCCCGCAAGGCGUCGGAGCACCUUUUUGGUGUGACGGCGUGCCUUUUGUAGAAUGAGCCAGCGAGUUGCUGGCGCGUCGGCGAGGUUAAGCUGGAAGCGAGCCGGAGCGAAAGCGAGUCCGAAACGGGCGAUGUGAGUCGGCGCCGCAGACGCGAAGCCGGGUGAGCUAUCCCUGGGCAGGCUGAAGCGGGGGUAAGACCCCGUGGAGGGCCGAACGCACGUCGGUUGAAAACGGCGGCGAUGACCUGCGGGUAGGGGUGAAAGGCCUAUCAAACCCGGAGAUAUCUCGUUCUCCCCGAAAUAGCUUUAGGGCUAGCGUCGCGCGUUAACCCCGGGAGGUAGAGCACCGGAUCGAUGA